Molecule: ribosomal RNA, 403 nt
Filed under: uncultured bacterium
Lineage: Bacteria
Description: bacterial SSU rRNA
Rfam family: Bacterial small subunit ribosomal RNA
Source: RNAcentral
AGCGAACGUUGGCGGCGCGCCUAACACAUGCAAGUCGAACGCGAAAAGCCUUCGGGCUGAGUAGAGUGGCGCACGGGUGAGUAACACGUGAGUAAUCUACCCUGAGGAUCGGGAUAACACUCCGAAAGGAGUGCUAAUACCGAAUAAGACCACAGCCCCUGCGGGGGCAGUGAGAAAACGAUGGGGAUCCGAAAGGACCUAUCACCACGGGAUGAGCUCGCGGCCUAUCAGCUAGUUGGUGAGGUAAUGGCUCACCAAGGCUAAGACGGGUAGCUGGUCUGAGAGGAUGAUCAGCCACACUGGAACUGAGACACGGUCCAGACUCCUACGGGAGGCAGCAGGUGGGUAAUUUUUGCGCAAUGGGCGAAAGCCUGACGCAGCGACGCCGCGUGUGCGAUGAAGG